CAUCCGGAAACGGGUGCUAAUACCGCAUAGUUUUCUUGAUCGCAUGAUUGAGAAAGGAAAGAACGGCCUUUGUGCUGUCGCUUAUGGAUGGACCCGCGGCGUAUUAGUUAGUUGGUGAGGUAACGGCUCACCAAGACGAUGAUACGUAGCCGACCUGAGAGGGUGAUCGGCCACAUUGGGAACUGAGACACGGCCCAAACUCCUACGGGAGGCAGCAGUAGGGAAUCUUCCGCAAUGGACCGAAAGUCUGACGGAGUCAACGCCGCGUGAGUGAAGAAAAGGUUUUCGGAUCGUAAAACUCUGUUGUCAGAGAAGAACAAGUUGGAGAGUAACUGACUCCAGCCUUGACGGUAUCUGACCUAGAAAGCCACGGCUAACUACGUGCCAGCAGCCGC
This 395-nucleotide ribosomal RNA is filed under the name uncultured bacterium. RNAcentral's name for it is "bacterial SSU rRNA". It matches the Rfam family "Bacterial small subunit ribosomal RNA", at positions 147 to 518 of the family's 1533-position model. The record is from RNAcentral.